Stegostoma tigrinum is the source of this 917-nucleotide long non-coding RNA. RefSeq lists it as uncharacterized. NCBI's taxonomy places the organism in Eukaryota, Metazoa, Chordata, Chondrichthyes, Orectolobiformes, Stegostomatidae. The transcript has 3 exons. The record is from RefSeq and is a predicted model, not a curated record.
CUUGCUAUUGGUCGUUAGAUGUAGUUCAGCCACGGAGCAUGCGUACUGGGAGGGAUAGCCAGAAUGAAAUGGUUUUCCAUGAGAGCCACAAGCGGGCAUUCAACAACUUGAAAACUGGAUUGAAAAUGAGAGACAGAGCAGCCACUCCAGAAGCUUCCAAAAUCACACUGCACCUUCUUGAUCUGCUGCAAUCCACGUGGUGAAGUAGCUCCCAUGUUGCUGUUUGGUCAGGAGUUACAGGAUUUUCAUCCAGUGGUAAUAAGGAAAUUGGAAAGGGAGCAUUUACUGACAAGCUGCUCAACUCAAACAUUGGAUCAAAAACUGCCAGGAACACUUAAUGCUCAGGAGCUUUGAACAUGAAAGGAACAAGCAUCGUUUACAGUGAAGAGAAACCAUACACGUGGUCUGUGUGGACAAGCCUUUAUUCAAUUGUCUGGCCUGUCAGUACAGUCAAAACAGGGUGACAACCAUAACAUCAAACAGCUCUUGCUUUAUAAUAUCAUGGUCAUGGAUCUCAGUUUGAGUUAAGCAAGGGCCACUCAUCUCCUGUCCUCCCGACAUUCUUAGUGCAGACAUGGACCAAACAGCUGAAUUCCAAAUGUGAGAGUGACUAUCCACUAUCUUAAGGCUCCAUUUGACAGAGCAUUGUAUUAAGGAAUCAUGACAAAUCUAAAUUCAAUAGGAACCAGAGAAUAUUAUUCUUCCUUGGAUAGCUGGUUUUUGAAAAGAUUGCAUCUUCAGACCUCAGUAAAUCGAAACAAGGUGAAUUUAUUCCAACUUGUACCACAUACAUGUGGAAGAGGUCUGUCAGUUUAGCUCGGAGACACUACACCUUUUACAGCUCAAAACAGCAUAUGAAGGCAUUUUCAUGUAAAAAUGGUUGCAUGUGACAUUGAUAUAAAAUAAAUUAUUUUUCA